This is a long non-coding RNA of Heterocephalus glaber (naked mole-rat), 1011 nucleotides long. NCBI's taxonomy places the organism in Eukaryota, Metazoa, Chordata, Mammalia, Rodentia, Bathyergidae. The record is from Ensembl.
GUGAGUCAAUAGGAAAAUGAGUUCAGUGUGGAACUGGCCCAGGAUAGAAAAGCCACAAUGACUCCAUUAUUGUCUACUAAAGAACAGUAAGAAGAUAUUGGAUCCCAUCUACCUGCUGAAAUCUCCCAAGGUGAAAAAUGAGACUAUUCUUUUCUGAAACAUCUGGAUACUUUAAUUUAAAAGACUAAAGAGGAAUAAGAAACAGAGCCUGUCCUCAAGAGGUGGAAAUGAAGCAACCAGAGAAAUGAGCACAGCAAGAGAUUUAAAAUAAAAUUCGACUGUAUUGGAGGCCCCUGAAGUGUCAUGGCCCUGCUCACUGUGCCUAGUGGAUCAGUCCACAGAAAAGUGUGGAAGCUGAGGCAAGAGGAUUGCUGCAAGUGUGAGGCCAGCCUGGCCCUCACAGUGAGGAGUUCAAGACCAGCCUGGGCCUCACAGUGAGGAGUUCAAGACCAGCCUGGGCCUCACAGUGAGUCCAAGACCAGCCUGAACUUUGUAGCGAGACCCUGUCUCAGAAAACAAACAAAAAACGCAGCACAUGCCUUCCAUAUUCCUCCACAGACCUCUGAAAACAAAAUAAGCUAUCAGUGUCUGUUAAGACGAAGAUUUUUUUCAUGGUUAAAUUCUGCUUUCUGCGGCACCAAGUGCACCCUGCUGGGCUCAAGUAAGUUCGGUGAGGUUUUAACCGUGAGGAGCCAUUUGCUUCUGCUGACAAGUUGUGUCCUGCGCUUCAGCCACCUGCUCCGCUCCUGCAACCUGCUCUGCUCCUGCACCUCGGCCCUGCAUCAUUGCGCGCACGAAGCUGGAAAGACACCGGCCCUAGCACGCGGCUCCUGAUGGGCUCCUCUGUCCUGCGGGCCCGGUGCCCCAGGUGUGGAAGGCUCACCCUCACUGUAACCUCGACGCCAUCGGAGCACUGUGUCCGCUAAUGACAGCCGACUCCAGAGCUCCGGCGCUCAGGUAAGCGAGAGCGACCCCUGCCUUGGAGCCGGCCAGCAGGACGCCCCUGUCGAC